This 85-nucleotide transfer RNA is filed under the name marine sediment metagenome. It matches the Rfam family "tRNA". From Rfam's summary of the family: Transfer RNA (tRNA) molecules are approximately 80 nucleotides in length. Their secondary structure includes four short double-helical elements and three loops (D, anti-codon, and T loops). The record is from RNAcentral.
GCCGAGGUGGAGGAAUUGGCAGACUCGCAAGCUUGAGGUGCUUGUGGCUGUUAAGGCCGUGCGGGUUCAAAUCCCGCCCUCGGCA